UACAGAGGUCUCAAGCGUUGUUCGGAUUCAUUGGGCGUAAAGGGUGCGUAGGUGGCGCGGUAAGUCGGGUGUGAAAUCUCGGGGCUUAACUCCGAAACUGCAUUCGAUACUGCCGUGCUUGAGGACUGGAGAGGAGACUGGAAUUUACGGUGUAGCAGUGAAAUGCGUAGAUAUCGUAAGGAAGACCAGUGGCGAAGGCGGGUCUCUGGACAGUUCCUGACACUGAGGCACGAAGGCCAGGGGAGCAAACGGGAUUAGAACCGUA
RNAcentral lists this ribosomal RNA (265 nucleotides) under uncultured bacterium. Its description in RNAcentral is "partial 16S ribosomal RNA". It matches the Rfam family "Bacterial small subunit ribosomal RNA", at positions 524 to 792 of the family's 1533-position model. The record is from RNAcentral.